This is a non-coding RNA of Nicotiana tabacum (common tobacco), 641 nucleotides long. Lineage: Eukaryota; Viridiplantae; Streptophyta; Magnoliopsida; Solanales; Solanaceae. The record is from RefSeq and is a predicted model, not a curated record.
GGCUACUCCCACAUAUAUGUUUUUCUUCUCUUUCGAUAUAUCCCUUAGAAAAGCAGACACAAGAAAAAGUAACAGAGAAACGAUCCAUCACAAGACCAAUUCAAUCAGGUUCAGGGUUAUUUCCAUCGGCUGUGCUGGAUUUGAUUGUUCUAGCUUGCGCCUGCAAAUAAUAUAAGCCCGUGAUAUCUACUGGGGAUAAAUUGGGAGGAAGGUAACAACAAGUUUUUUCACAACAGGAGUCAGACACCUAUAUGUUGAUGACGGUUCUUUGUGAUAUAAUUGGAAAGCACUGUAUCAGUUUCACAGUCAAUACGGAGGUAAUUUUCGUACCUUUUUCUUAAAUUUUUCUAUUUUGUACUUAUGGAGUUGUAAUCUUUUAGAAUCUUGAUCUUUUAUGUUUUUUCUUUUACGUCAUUGCUCUCAGGAGAGGUUUGAGGCUAAUAAAUUUGUUUUCUCUUCUUAGUUCUCUAUUUCACGCAUUUUUAUUUAAAAAAUGACAUUUCUUAGAGUGAAUGUUUAAGCUAGAUAUAGGGAUUAAUAUCGAUACCUUUAUUUUACGUAUCAACUACAAAAAUUUAUGUAUUUUUUCCCCCUUAUUCAUGUCCGAAUAUACUAGUGUAAAUGAGUUUUUUCAUAUUUGA